This is a long non-coding RNA of Chinchilla lanigera (long-tailed chinchilla), 592 nucleotides long. RefSeq lists it as uncharacterized. The record is from RefSeq and is a predicted model, not a curated record. Lineage: Eukaryota; Metazoa; Chordata; Mammalia; Rodentia; Chinchillidae. The transcript is spliced from 5 exons.
GUCCAGGUUGAUGAUGCCUUUCCGCCUCCGCUUGUUCAUGUCAUUCUCUUCGGUUUGGGCAUCUCCCUGCAACGGCAAAGAAAGCCUGCACGGUUAUUAACGGUCUGCCCAUGGUCUCCCUAUGGACAAACUCUGCUGCCUGAAUCUGGACCUCUAGAUCAGGGAAACUCCGCUUUAUCCAACCCCACAGGCAAACACCAUCCUGCUGUCUCUGGAGGGAAGGAGGAGGACUUUCUGGCACUGAGAAGAGAAAUCAGCCUGAAGCAGAUGCUUAAUAACUGCUGUUGAAGGAGUGGAUAGAUGGAUAGAAGCAGCACUUUCUUGAUAAAGAGGCCCCGGCCCCACUACAGGGGACCUGGAGAGCUGUGAGUAUAAACACCAUGCAGUGGAGACACCGUCAGUGUGGACACCCCAAGCAGGAGUGCAGGGACCUGGCUGAGAAAGCAGACCUCCAGGCUGCACGUGGCUGAGCACCCAUCUGCCCCAGGCUGCUGCACUGGGAGUCUCAGGUCCUGGAAAAAUUUCUGAUUGAAGAUGAAGGCCACCCCGCUAAUCUCUUCCACCUUGGCCUCAGCCGUGCUGUUCCUGUUGA